GAGGAUCAAACAAGGUCGAACCUGUUCCACCGUCGAAAUCGAUUCUCCUCGAUCUUUUAACUCCUGAACUCCGAUCUUCACUCUCCACUGAUUCUCAACUAGCAGUAUUAUAAAGAGACUGCUGGCAAUGGCCUUUUAAACUUUAGGCAUUAAAUAGAACUUCAUCUUUCAACUAAACUGCGUCAUAACAUUAAAUCACGCAGUGGCAUGAAGUCAACAUGGCAAAUCCAGCCACGAACUGCCCCUCCUCACAGGGAGGGGUCCUCCUUUUAUACCCUGUAAAAAAGCCUGUCACAUGUCCUCUACUGGCGGGAAAAUGAUGUCACUCCACCAUCACAAGACCAUUACCUCAAGUCCAGUAUAGUUUCAACAUCUGUCACGUGACAAGUACACCACUGUCACGUGUCACAGCGGCAAGAGGACGUGAUGCAAAACCUAUGGGGGCACUCCCUUCCAUCACUUCCAUAAGAUGUGACAUGACUGCAUCUAUACUAUGAGGUGAGAGGCCACAGGUUUCAAAAAUGUCUGAAGUGUCUCCUUUGUCUCACCGGAAAUAUUCUGCCAUGACAACAUUUUG
Long non-coding RNA from Hypanus sabinus (Atlantic stingray), 577 nucleotides. RefSeq lists it as uncharacterized. The transcript is spliced from 3 exons. NCBI's taxonomy places the organism in Eukaryota, Metazoa, Chordata, Chondrichthyes, Myliobatiformes, Dasyatidae. The record is from RefSeq and is a predicted model, not a curated record.